AGGACGAACGCUGGCGGCGUGCCUAACACAUGCAAGUCGAACGGAGUCCAAGCGGUGGCAACACUGCUGAAGACUUAGUGGCGAACGGGUGAGUAUCACGUGAGCAACCUGCCCCGAAGGCUGGGAUAACACCGGGAAACCGGUGCUAAUACCGGAUAUCCCCACCGGAUCGCAUGGUCUGGUGAGGAAAUGAAUUUCGCUUUGGGAGGGACUCGCGGCCUAUCAGCUUGUUGGUGGUGUAACGGACCACCAAGGCUUCGACGGGUAGCUGGUCUGAGAGGACGAUCAGCCACACUGGGACUGAGACACGGCCCAGACUCCUACGGGAGGCAGCAGUGGGGAAUCUUGCGCAAUGGGCGAAAGCCUGACGCAGCAACGCCGCGUGAGGGACGAAGGCCUUCUGGGUUGUAAACCUCUUUCAGCAGGGCGAUUGUGACGGUACCUGCAGAAGAAGCCCGGCCAACUACGUGCCAGCAGCCGC
This 481-nucleotide ribosomal RNA is filed under the name uncultured bacterium. RNAcentral's name for it is "SSU rRNA". It matches the Rfam family "Bacterial small subunit ribosomal RNA", at positions 26 to 518 of the family's 1533-position model. The record is from RNAcentral.